GCCGAGGUGUCCUAGCCUGGUAGGGAGCAGGCCUGGAAAGCCUGUGACUCGCAAGGGUCGCGGGGGUUCAAAUCCCCCCCUCGGCGCCA
This 89-nucleotide transfer RNA is filed under the name Candidatus Methanomethylicaceae archaeon. RNAcentral describes it as "tRNA-Ser". It matches the Rfam family "tRNA". Rfam says of the family: Transfer RNA (tRNA) molecules are approximately 80 nucleotides in length. Their secondary structure includes four short double-helical elements and three loops (D, anti-codon, and T loops). Lineage: Archaea; Thermoproteati; Thermoproteota; Methanosuratincolia; Candidatus Methanomethylicales; Candidatus Methanomethylicaceae. The record is from RNAcentral.